AGAGCACCAGCAGCUAACUAUUUUCUUCAUCUUCUCUUCUGGUUGUUCUCUCUGUAUUUCCAACAGAAGCUUCUUGUUUCUCUCCGUCUCCCUCACCCUCUCAGUUAACAGUUUGAACAGAAUGAAGGCGCAAGCUAAGAUAGUUCAUGCUAGCCGAUGUUUUGGCCAAAUUGCAAAUGCAUGAUGGUAUGCAUGACAAAAUUGAACAUUUUUUACCAAAAGGAGACUUCUGGUAAUUUUAUUAUACCACAGAUUUCCUGAAGUUACGAUAUUCAUAUCCCGCUCAACCAGUUCAAACCAGUAAAGACACUUAUUAAGACCAAGUAACCAUCAAAGCAUAUAAUUUGGAUAAAGAUGUAUGAAGGAGUUGCAUCACCUAUUUAUCCGGCCUUAUCUAUGGGAACUUAGUCAUGCAGUAAUACUAGCUACUUACUAGCAGAAGAUAUUUCAAAAACUAAGUCAUGAACAAAUAAUGCCUUUGGGCUAUCAUUUUGUAUGGUUUACCUUCGUGGAUUUAAUUUUCUUGAGGGAGCGAGAUUCAUUUGUUCCUGAAUGCAGAUUCUGAAUAUGUACAUGUAUGCUCUUAAUAGUAGGUGGUCGUUAAUGUUUGUCACUAUUUACUAA
This is a long non-coding RNA of Nicotiana attenuata, 624 nucleotides long. RefSeq lists it as uncharacterized. Lineage: Eukaryota; Viridiplantae; Streptophyta; Magnoliopsida; Solanales; Solanaceae. The transcript is spliced from 4 exons. The record is from RefSeq and is a predicted model, not a curated record.